AUACGUAGGUGGCAAGCGUUAUCCGGAAUUAUUGGGCGUAAAGGGAGCGUAGGCGGUUUAAUAAGUCUGAAGUUAAAGGCAGUGGCUCAACCAUUGUAUGCUUUGGAAACUGUUAGACUAGAGUGCAGAAGAGGCAAGUGGAAUUCCAUGUGUAGCGGUAAAAUGCGUAGAUAUAUGGAGGAACACCAGUGGCGAAGGCGGCUUGCUGGUCUGCAACUGACGCUGAGGCUCGAAAGCGUGGGGAGCAAAUAGGAUUAGAUACCCUGGUAGUCCACGCUGUAAACGAUGAAUACUAGGUGUGGGGGGACUGACCCCCUCCGUGCCGCAGUUAACACAAUAAGUAUUCCACCUGGGGAGUACGAUCGCAAGAUUGAAACUCAAAUGAAUUGGCGGGG
This 395-nucleotide ribosomal RNA is filed under the name uncultured bacterium. Its description in RNAcentral is "partial 16S ribosomal RNA". It matches the Rfam family "Bacterial small subunit ribosomal RNA", at positions 523 to 918 of the family's 1533-position model. The record is from RNAcentral.